RNAcentral lists this ribosomal RNA (251 nucleotides) under uncultured prokaryote. RNAcentral's name for it is "partial 16S ribosomal RNA". It matches the Rfam family "Bacterial small subunit ribosomal RNA", at positions 525 to 775 of the family's 1533-position model. The record is from RNAcentral.
ACGUAGGGUGCGAGCGUUAAUCGGAAUUACUGGGCGUAAAGCGUGCGCAGGCGGUUUUGUAAGUCAGAUGUGAAAUCCCCGGGCUUAACCUGGGAACUGCGUUUGAAACUACAAGGCUAGAGUGUGGCAGAGGGGGGUGGAAUUCCACGUGUAGCAGUGAAAUGCGUAGAGAUGUGGAGGAACACCGAUGGCGAAGGCAGCCCCCUGGGUUAACACUGACGCUCAGGCACGAAAGCGUGGGGAGCAAACAG